This 183-nucleotide ribosomal RNA is filed under the name Triticum aestivum (bread wheat). RNAcentral describes it as "partial small subunit ribosomal RNA". Lineage: Eukaryota; Viridiplantae; Streptophyta; Magnoliopsida; Poales; Poaceae. The record is from RNAcentral.
CGUCAAGCCAAGGCCUCCAUCACCAUGCUUGUCUCUUGGACAGUUUGGAACGAGCGGAACACAAGGGUUUUUAAGCAUACGAGUGCCCCACCGCCAAUCUUGCUUUCGUCCAUCUUCACCGAGGCAAACCUUUGGGUCAUCACCGGAGCUAAGAAAUUAGGGUCUUUUAUCGCGCGCGAGUAA